GCGCGCCACCGUGUGUCAACUCGUGGUAUUGCAAUACAAAAUGUCUCAUGCCUGCAAGUUUUGGCUGGUGUAUGUCAACAAAGCAGCUAACCAACACACUUCGGUGGAUUAGGAUGAUAAGACUAGCAUGGCGUCGGUCGGCGUCCAGAAAUAGCCGCGUGGAGCCCGCACGCCUUUUAGCUGCAGCUUUUUUGGGAGCGGACGGUCCUCAGCAGAACUCCGGGUGUCACGUUAGGUGCUUCAGACAGAUCCUCCACCCACCAAGCGAGAGGUCACCGCGCCACCACCUUCCACAGCCGGCCUGCUACCUCAGCUCGUCUGUCUUCAUGAGCAUGGCGUCAGGAGGGACGUCGUCCACCUCCCCCCACAAACACACCAACAGGUUGGCCGAGGAGAGGUCGCCCUACCUGCUGCAACACGCACACAACCCCGUCGACUGGUAUCCCUGGGGACAAGAUGCUUUCGACAAAGCCAAGAAUGAAGACAAGCCGAUCUUUUUAUCAGUGGGCUACUCCACGUGCCACUGGUGCCAUGUUAUGGAGAGGGAGUCUUUCGAAGACGAGGAAAUUGGCAAAAUCCUGAGUGACAACUUUGUCUGCAUCAAAGUGGACCGAGAAGAGCGACCCGAUGUGGACAAGGUCUACAUGACCUUUGUACAGGCGACCAGCGGUGGCGGAGGUUGGCCCAUGAGUGUGUGGCUGACUCCUGACCUACGACCUUUCAUUGGAGGCACCUACUUCCCUCCCACGGACCACGCAAGGAGACCUGGACUCAAAACGGUUCUCAAGCGAAUCAUUGAACAGUGGCAGAAUAACCGCCCUGCUCUGGAGUCCAGCGGAGAGAGGAUCCUUGAAGCCCUGAAGAAGGGCACGGCCGUCGCCGCGAACCCAGGAGACAGUCCUCCGCCCGCCACAGAGGUCGCUGACCGCUGCUUUCAGCAGUUAGCGCACUCCUACGAGGAGGAGUACGGGGGCUUCAGGGACGCUCCAAAGUUCCCCACACCAGUGAAUCUGAUGUUCCUCAUGUCGUACUGGUCCGUGAAUCGCUCCACCUCAGAGGGGGUCGAGGCUCUCCAGAUGGCCUUGCACACACUCCGCAUGAUGGCGCUGGGCGGCAUCCACGACCACGUGGCUCAGGGUUUUCAUCGCUACUCUACAGAUUCCUCCUGGCACGUUCCCCACUUUGAGAAGAUGUUGUACGACCAGGCCCAGCUGGCUGUAGCCUACGUAACUGCCUCCCAGGUAUCAGGUGAGCAGCUCUUUGCAGAUGUGGCUAAGGACAUACUGCUGUACGUCUCCAGAGACCUGAGUGACAAGUCCGGAGGCUUCUACAGCGCAGAGGAUGCGGACUCAGUCCCGGCAUCGGGGGGGCCAGAGAAGCGAGAGGGGGCUUUCUGCAUCUGGACAGCCUCGGACGUUCGGGAGCUGCUGCCGGAUGUGGUUGAGGGCGCCACCGGAGCGGCCACGCAGGCAGACAUCUUCAUGCACCACUACGGGGUCAAGGAGCUUGGCAAUGUUGCUCCGGAACAGGACCCCCACGGCGAGCUGCAAGGCCAGAAUGUGCUGAUCGUGCGCUAUUCGGUGGAGUUGACGGCUGCUCGUUUUGGCAUCAGCGUGGACAAAGCCAAUGAGCUCCUGGCCUCGGCCAGGAGCAAAAUGGCAAAAGUGAGGGAGAGUCGGCCACGCCCACAUCUGGACACCAAGAUGUUGGCCUCCUGGAAUGGUCUCAUGCUGUCGGCCUACGCCGGUGUCGGAGCCGUGCUGGGGGACAAGGCCCUGCUGGAGAGGGCGGUGCGGGCGGGCAACUUCCUCAAGGAGCACCUGUGGGAUGCUGAACGGCAGACCGUCCUCAGGUCCUGUUACCGGGGAGACGAGAUGGAGGUGACACAGAUAUCUCCGCCCAUCUCUGGCUUCCUGGACGACUACGCCUUCGUCAUUUGCGGCCUGCUGGACCUGUACGAGGCCACGCUGCAGACGGAGUGGUUGCAGUGGGCCGAGGAGCUGCAGCUGCGGCAGGACGCGCUGUUCUGGGACGACCAGGGUGGAGGCUACUUCUGCAGCGAUCCCGGUGACGCCACAGUGCUGCUGCAGCUCAAAGAGGAUCAGGACGGAGCUGAGCCCAGCGCUAACUCGGUGUCGGCGUCCAAUCUCCUGCGUCUGUCCCACUACUCCGGCAGACGGGAGUGGCUCCAGAGGUCCCAACAGCUGCUGGCAGCGUUCUCCGACCGCCUGACCAGGGUCCCCAUAGCGCUGCCUGAAAUGGUUCAGGCCCUCAUGGCCCAGCACUACACGCUUCAACAGAUCGUGAUCUGUGGCCAGAGGGAUGCCCCGGACACCGCCAGUCUUCUAGCAGCAGUCAACUCCCUCUUUCUACCACAUAAGGUUUUGAUGCACAUCGACGGCGAUGCAGACGGAUUCCUGCGGCAGCGGCUGCCCGUCCUCUCCUCCAUGUCCCAGCAAGGUGGUGUGGCCACAGCCUACGUCUGCCAGGACUUCACCUGUUCUCUCCCUGUCACUGACCCCCAGGAACUGCGCAGGCUUCUGCUGGACGGGACCACGGAGAGACGGGCAGAAUGACCACUGCACUAUUUAUUGACUGACCUGGGAUUUACCGGGAGGGCUGUAAUCUUCUAAACUAAAAUAGAUUAUUUCGGCUGUGAGUCUGACUCUGCCAUAUAAGAAUGCCAAUGCUUUAAAAGUCGAUACGCUACAUUGGAAGAAAUACAUACAGUACCAUGAGGUGACUAGGGCCUCCAGUCCUUCAUACUAAACUCCAACCUAUUCUUUGUUAGCAAGACCAGCUAGGCAUUACCUCGAAUAUGGCUUUCAGAGACGGUUGAUCAGUGGAGCCAUAUUCAAAUUCAGGUCUCUAAAUGUCCUUGUAAAGAAACACGUGCAGCAGCAGUGGCAGUCCACUGAGAAUAUUUAACACUUGUACAAAAUGUCCUGGCUUAGCUGUUACCCCGGAAGUAAGCUACAGACUCGUAAUAGACUAUAACAUGAGACCGCUUGGAUGAAUUGGACUGGCAAUAUUCUGCAGAUGAACCGAUGUGCCCUGUUGUCCUCUCCUGGCCCUGUGUUCCUGCUCUCUACAUUCAUGUCACAUGGAUCUGACAGUCCGCUUGCCUGUGUGUGUGUGUGUGUGUGUGUGUGUGUGUGUGUGUGUGUGUGUGUGUGUGUGUGUGUGUGUGUGUGUGUGUGUGUGUGUGUGUGUGUGUGUAUCCAGUGCGUUUAUUGGUCCCAGUGGAGCUGCAUUCACACAGUCACCUAACAGCUUUACUGGUCGCCCUCGAUUGAUCGAUUGUUCAUAACCAGAAAUGCGUCAUGUUUUUCUUGUCUUUGUGUGUGUAUGGCUGCUGAAGGGUUUGAGUUCUCAGAGCCUUAUUGAAUCAUUCCUGCCACUGACGUGCGUUAUUGAUUCCAUAAGUGUACAGACCUUCGCUCAUUCAGUUGUCUGUACUCUGUAAAGGAGGGGAGCAGGAGAGAGAGAGCAGGGGGGCUCUCAACGUCCAUCUUGCUCUCUUGGUGUGUGUGUGUAUGUGUCGUGUGUGUGUUUUUUUGGUGUCUGGAUGUGAGAGAGCUAUUGGAGGGAGUGUUUCCUUAGGGUGACACCGCUCUGCUCUGCUGUGUGUGUGUGUGUGUGUGUUCAUGUCAUUCGGAUUACCUCCGCUCCUUCCUCCCCCGACUGCCGCCCUCCCACGCCUCACCUCAACUCCCUCCCUCCGUCCCUCCACCCCUUCCGCCUCGUCUCUCGCUCCCCUUCCUCUCUCCUCAUUUGUCACCGUUUUUGAUUGAGAUGCCGAGCAGGCCUGUCCUCCUCCUCCUCCUCCUCUUCCCUUGAGGAAUGUUGUCCUCUCUUUCGCAUCUUGUUCUUCCCUCGCCCUCCUCUCAUCCUUCUUUCCCUUUUUCUUUACUCUGCCUCAGUCUCCACAGCUGAUUUCCAUGUCUGUAAAUGUCAAAUCUUUAAAAGGUCCUACAAAUAUACUUUUUUUUUUUAAGCAUUCGGGGCACAUGAGUCCCUCGUGGCUCCUCGGGGAGCAAAGGCGAUCGUGGCACUAUUAUCCAAGUCAGGGCCUCUCAAACAUUUUCAUAUCAUGGUCCCCAUACGAACAACACGUGAUAUUGUGCUCUUUCAGGUGUUUAAUUCUCAGGUUGUACGUGUAGCCAAGUGUACGAUAAUUAUCGGAUUUAUGCGAUUGUUUUGCACCGUUGUACGAUCCACGCAGCUCUAAAAUAUUUUCUCGAUUUUUUUCCCAUCCAGUAGUUGCUGCGUUACAAAAGAACCUGACCCAGGAUCUGAUGUAAAUGAUCCAAUCAAAUAUCACAACCCCUUGCAAAGUCCUUAGUGACGUUUUUCACAACUCCCAUAGUAAAACGUGUCGACCCGUUAAGCUAUGUCUGAGUGCUUGCACGCUGGGAUGCACAGUGGGUCCCAAAGCCUGCAUUAUAAAUGCUGACCUGAGGUCCAUUGCGUCACCCAUCACAGACCUUUGGCACAGAUUCAUGAAUACGUUGCAAACCCUAGUUGUGGCUGCGGCGUAGUCUGGAUUCAAUGUGCAAUAGUUUGCCCUGAAAUGGGAUAAUUCCGGAGUAACAUUGGAGUCUUAUCUGAGAUCAAGUUCUUUUUUCUGUUUUCUGAUGGCCGUCUGAUUCUACUAAAGUCAGACUGGUUUCUGUUUUUUUUUUGCACGGAUCCGUUCUGCAAAGAUUCACGGACCCCGCUUUGAAAUUUUUGAAUGAGGAUUUGCACGUAUUGAAGUGACUGCUGGUUGAUUUGCGACGAAGGCCCUCUGUUUGUGUGUGUUUACGUGUGUCCCCACGGCUAUGUCUACCUGUACUGAUUUACGAAAAGGUCACCGCUUCCGUAAUGCAUGAACGUCACUGAGAUCGAUCCGUCUCUGUGUGCCCCUGUGCGUGCAUGCGUGCGCUCCCGUGUUUGAAUCCGUGUGCACGCUAUUGCUUCGCGUCCAGAGAGCAAGACGUAUAUCUUGCUAUAUUUCUGACCUCGUCCUCUCCCGAGCUGUGGCCCUUCUCUGCCGCUGUCGCUGCUUUCUGGUUGGGAGAGUUAAUCUCCCAACCAGAAAGCAGACCAACAACAUGGGAGCGCCCGACUGAUCUCGGGGCCAGAAUCCAUUCUAAACAGGCAUAUUCUCGGUAAGCCCUCGGCCUUGGGCGGCCCGCGGCCAUUUUCAGCAGUCUGAAGUAAUUAGGACCCCUGGAUGCUCGCGGAGGUAUUUAAGGUUUAAUUGAAGACCCCUGGGGUGAACGCUCUGAGUGAUGUUUUGCCCAGCACAUUGCCUGUGCGAAAUCCCCUCUGCUGGUUUUGCUAAUGAUUCCUGCAGAAUCCGCCGCACGAUAGAGAGUGAGAGCUUUUCUAUGCGUUGUGUGUGUGUGUGUGUGUAUGUGCGAGGUUGUGUAAGCAGCACACACACUUUCACAGGACUCCCGUAGGUGUCUCCUCUCUGGUGGGGGAGCUGGAUGUUGAUGCCAAGACGGAGGAGGAGGGGAGUUUUGGGAACGUGUCCAGUGCUCUCUAUAUCUUUCGCUCGUGCCGAUUUAAGCAGAGGAUUACACGGCGCAGAACAGCGAGGGAGAACACCUGGCCGGGCUAGGUGUUUUGUCAUCGCGUUGAAAUAGCCUCACUGGAGGGCCCGACAACAGCGGAGGGAUUUUAGGGAAAACAUGCUACCGAUUCCUUAUUUUUUGCUUCUGUUUCGCUCUCCUGCAGGCUUUCACAUUUGUUGCUCCGAUGCGUCCGUCAAAUAGCGGAAGCCGAAGCGAAUGCUUACUCAAUCAGCAGAAAAUGUCUCCUGCCCUCCCCGUCGCCUGUUCUCCCCUCACCCCCACUCCUCCUCCUCUUCCUCCUCGUCUGCUUUUCUUCUCCCCACCGUACCCCUGGCUUUUUUUGUUUUCCUCCUCUGGAGUUAAAAGCCUCAUGUUGGCUGUAGAGUGAGGAGGUGUGUUUCUGUGUGUGUGUGUGUGUGUGUGUGUGUGUGUGUGUGUGUGUGUGUGUGUGUGUGUGUUUGCCAUCUCUGACGGCCUCCAAAACCAGUAGAAGAAGAAGGGGGGAGAAAAAUGUGGAAAAAAACCGAGGCUCAGUUGGAGAGCCGUUUGGGAUUUCAGAGAGCAUUUUUUAAGAGGUGAAAAAGUAGGCCCAUACCAGCCAUCAACUUUACUUUCAUAUUCCCCCCCCCCCGCCCCUUGUUCCUUAGAGAAUUUCAGACAUUUCCAACUUCUUGCCGUUCGAGAGCUUCAUCCUAUGAACUGAAUGCUCUCUGAAAUUCACCAGGAGGCUGACAUGAACAUGACGGAUUAUGUAUGAUGAAGUAUUAAUUUACUGAACCAUGCUAUAGGCCUUUUUGUGUGUGCGUGUGUCGGCGUGUGAUGGAAUGGGGGUACUUUUUUUUUUUUUUACUCCAUGAUUCAUGUGACUCGAUGAGCAUGUGAUGUGACGCGGGCAUGUAUUUUGCAUGUAAAGUGCUCGCCGCAAGAGAUGUGUUUCCGUGUGUAUAUUUAGAGCUGCGCUCAUUCAAUCAUUCGGCGAAUGACAACUAGCUGAGAUGUACGUCUCUCACGUCAAUUUCUACUCGCCAGACGGAUGAGGUCAGCCGGCGGUGUUGCGUGCACGCUGAGCGUGAUUGUUGACCAAUGAGAAGCUUUCUGGACUAGCUGAUGACCAAUCAGGGGAAUUGGAGGCCGUCAGCAAGUCAGCUGGACAAAAAAACGUUGGAGCUGAAAGUUUGCGAAAGGCAAUGGCACAAAUUUCAAUUUUAACGCUGGUGCUUUUCAUCGGCUGUGCUCCCGAUCUUCAUUUCCCUUGACCAUCUCCUGUAAAGAGUUAAAUCACAGUCAUGUGAUCAAUAUAAACACUUUAAGUGAUCCAGAUAUCUAAAACGUAGAUUGUCAUCAUCAAUAUUCUGUCACUCGAGUCAAAUAACAAGGCCUUUUCUUAGAACUGACAUCUUCCACUAAUCAUGCAACAUGCAGGUUGAAAUACAUCUCUGAAGAAGCAGCUAUAGAGGUAUGGCUUAUACACUCAAUAGACCAGAAUGCAAUGCAUUGAUGAUUUUACGAAUGCUUCCAUUCACAUGAUCGGUAUCGAGUGGAGUAGAACAGAAAGUAUCACAUGAAGUACUCUGUUGGUAUCACUAUCACUUUAAGGGUACUGGUAAUGGUAUCAUCUUUCUUCAAACAAUACCCAGCCCUACUUCCUGCCGUCGUGCAUUCCUUCGAGGUGACCAAAAGGCAUUCUGGGAAACGAAGGAAACCGAUGCGUUAAGUAAAGAGGGGAAAUGGGGGACAGCAAGUACGUAUCCAAUGGCACCUUUCUGUGAGCUCACUGCCAGAGACACACAUGUGUCUCGCUCUGCUCUCUAAUUCCUUUUUAAGAUGGAAACAAAAUGGUAGAAUAAAAAAAAGACGUUCAUAACUGGCAGCCACAGAACUCUUAAUAAAAGCACAGCUGUACAGACAAAAACAUCGAGAGCACCCACUCUUGCUGGCGUGGGCGCGCGUGUGUGUGUGUGGGGCUUUGUUAUUGUGCUAGAAAAAUCUUUUUUACAUUCAGAACCCAAUGCUAGUUAGUGGAGAUUUAUCACCGAGCUUCUUGCUUCUUGCUUCUUGGCUUUCGGGCAGGAAGGGAAAUGAGUAAGCGUUCAUCACAUCCCAACCCAAAUAUCAGCUGCGGCAUUUAUUAACAGCGGCGAUGUUAUUUCUACGUCCAUAUCGUGCGCCCCCCUUCCUCGUGUGCUUAAAAACGCGACUUACAUCUGUUGUGUACGCGCUCACUGGCAACCAUGGGUGUUUGAAGAAAGCGAAGGCUCCUUUCGUUUUGUUUUCGCAAAAAUGUGUUGGACUCAAUCCAAAUGCCGAUCCGCCGACCGAUAGAUCAGUCUGCUGGCGGUGAAACGCUCUUGACGCGCUGUACAGUAUGUGUGAUUCAGACACCUUGAAAGCGCCAAUUAUUGAUGAAUAACAGGAGUGACAAUCAAAAAAUGAUGGGAGGAGAGAGAGCGAGAGAGAGAGAUGGUGGAAGGGAGCGAGGCCAAGCUCAGACUGCAGUAAGGUGUGAGUAGAGACUCGGUAUGAGGUCUGUUCUUAAUGAGGAGCUUUGUUUAAGCUGUUAAACUGCAAACAUGCCGAGCACAAAGAAACCCCUUCUUUGUGCUCGGCCUGCUGCUUGAUUUUCUGAUUGCCACGCUGUAGUUUCAACCUAUAGUCAGCUCAUUAACGCACUUAAGUUUUCUACUCUGCACACCUGGUGUUUGUGGUAGUUUUUUUUUUUCCUGGGAAAAUCCCUUCCGUCAUUGCACACAAAGUGACACAUUAUUAUAUGUUACCAAAACUGCAGCGGGGUAUCAUUGGGGCCCGGCUAAAAGCAUUUUGAACAAAAAAAAAACGCCGGCGCGUUUUAGCAUUCCCAUUGAAAUCUCACGCAAUAAUAUAAAACCAUUAAACGGUUUGAAUACGGGCCUACUGGUGCAAAAGGCACCCUGUGGUGUAUCGAUGUCUGUUCGGAACACUGUAGAGUUUCUAUGCCUCACUGCUCCAUUCAGUUUUCACUGCGGAUGUAUUGAAUUUUUUUUAUGCCUCAACACUGAAGAAAACAGAACAGAAAGUUGAGUGUCCACGAGAGAGGAACGGAAACAGAUAAGGGCGCUGUUAAUAAGUUAAUACGUCAAUAUGGCUACAUGAAUAAAACCAACCUCACUCACAGGACAAUUUCCACAGCCAAUUCUCUCUCUCUCUCAUUGCACCUGUAAACAUUAUGCAACAGAUACAAGUACUGAAAACAUAUGUACAUGCCGUAUUAGCAUGUUUACAUGUCACAACUGAAGCUCUGUUUCAAAAUGUUGCGCUAUAGUUUGGUCGAGAAUCUAUCGUUCGGCAAGGAAAAUGGUGCAAAAAUGGCGGAUUCACACCAAACACAGCAACGAAUACUGGGAAAUGGAAUCUGGUGUUUUAUUUAUUGUUUCAUCAUCGGUGAACCAGGCCCAAUCAUGCGUACCUGUUAUGUCGCGUCUCACCUGUUCGGUGAAUGAACAGUUGGAAGACACUUUAAUUGGAAGGAUUUAUAACAUGAAAAAACAACUGCAGCAAGUGUCGAGUUUCAUUUACACUUCAUGUGUUGAUGUUCCUCAGGAAGAACGGUGCAGUGGAAUUAAUUAAAACGAGUAUUUGUAUUUGUGAUGGAUUCAGAGUUGUGGGAAUGACCACUGUAAAAGAUCUCCCAUUUGAGACAUCGUACUUGUAAUUCCAACCCAUCCCGUGUUUAUUCGGGCUAGUAUUUGAGACCUGGACAUAUUUCGGUAUUUACUGUAGAUGAACAUGGAAAGACAGAUGAAGGAAGAAAAACAUUAUGGUGCUCCAGACACUGCUUCAACCAGUGACUAAAAAAACCAACAAAAAAAAAAUCACAUAAUCAAUUGCAAGUACUCAAGGGUGUCUGCCUGUCUGGCUUUUACCUCCAGUGGAAAGCCUUAGCAUUCUAAUGUAAACACUCAGAACAGAUUGCAUUCGAGUACUGCCUGUUGUUUUAUUCACAAUGGAGCUCUGCGGACUGAAGGUGGUGGGUUUGUGGCUGCUCUCCAGCGAAGCCAUCGCGGGUUCUCUGAUUACCUGCGUAACCCGGUUUCUCAGAGUAACCCGGUUACUUAAGUGCCAAAAGUGACUUGAGUUUGUGGGCCGGGCCUGGCAGCUGUCUUUGUGUGUGGGUGUGUGUGUGUGUGUGUUGGCAGGGGAGGACCGGCUAACCUGAUACACACCCGGUGAGACUCCGACCACAGUGAUUCAGGGGCAAACCGCUAAACUCCAGUGUAGACUGCCAGACAGCAGCAGGAAGCACUCUCACUGUCUCUCUCCCUCUGUGUGUGUGUGUGUGUGUGUGUGUGUGUGUGUGGCUGUGUCCAUGUGUCAGUUUAUGGUGUUUCUAAAUGUGCUUUGUGCUCAAAGUUUAAACAUUGAUCUGUUUGUUUUUCUGCCCGUUUCCAAGUAUGAAAAGCAUCUUUUUCUGCGGUUCUUUUGUGUGUGUGUGUGUGUGUGUGUGUGUGUGUGUGCCUCUCUCUUGAUUGUGGCUGAGGCAGCAGCAACAUUUAUGCACUUGUAUUCUGGGGUGUUGCUUCCUUUCUCUUGUCAGACUCUGUUGUGCUCUUCCACCCCCCGUGACUCCGGUGGCCUAGUUAACAAAUUAAUGUGAAUCCUGUUAAAAAAGAAAAAAAAACACAUGGCUAGCUUCCCAAACAGAGGAAAAAGAAGGAGAGUUGGAGGAAAAGAGAGAAAAUAGGAGCAGCGGAGGAGUCAGAUGUCAGGAGGUAGUGAAGCAGAGAGGGAGGGACUUCACAAAGUCUUAUGUAAAAAUCACUUGGCGGUGUGUGUCUCACCCGCCCAUAUUCUGUGUCUUUGUUGUCCGCGGUUUGAAAUGCGCAAAGUCACGCGUGCGUGUUUGUCUCCGCACGGCAAAGUUUAUCCCUGAUUUUCAAUCAAUUCUUUGUACGGGGAGAACAAUUAGUGCACAUGAAACACAGCGGUUAAUGACUGCUACUUCAGAUAACGGCUUGUCAUGAAAAAAAGAAAAGAAAUCCUUCCACUGUCAUCUGCAGUUAGUUAUCCGGAACGGAGGUCUGGUUCGAUGAUUGGUUCGGUUAAUGGGUUGGACGCUUUGAUGGUUUGCUGUUUGGUUAGGCGGUAGGUUGACUAGUUAGGAGAUAGGUAGGUUACCUGGGUGGGAAGGUGAUUGGGUGAUUGUCCCACUGGUUGGCAGGGUGGUUGGUUGGUUAGUUGGUUGACUGGUAUAGGUGCCUGUUGACUGAAUGAUCGGGUGUUGGACUGGUUGGUAGAUUGGUUGGCUGACUGGUUGGGUAUUUGGUUGCUUGGGGUUUAUUUAGUUCUUUAACUAAUUGGAUGGUUUAAUGGUGAUUUAAUUGGGUGGUUUCUUGGUAGAUUUGUGGGUUGACUGGUUGGAUAUUUGAUUGGUCCAUUGGUUGAUGGUGUGGUUUGCCGAUUGGGGGGGUAAAUUUGUGUGUUCACUGGCUGGGUAUUGAAUUGGGUUUGUGGGGUGGUUGAUUGGUUGGAUAAUUGGCUCCUGACUGGUUGUUCAGGUUGACUUUAGAAAAAUACUUUUUUACUCUUCAACGUGAAAUGAAGUUGGUAGGCUACAAGUUACAGCUAAAAUGGUUGAAAUAUUACAAUUCAUUUAUACACCCACCCUAAAACAAAGCGUUUGAAGAAAUCAAAUUUCUUAAAGAAAUCCAACUUUUGAAAAUGUAAAUCUAUCCUGCGUUCACUUGAUGCCAACAGGUUACAAAAUAGUACCUCGAUCUUAAGUUCAGUCCUGGAAACAACAGAGGUGUUUCCAUUUGAUAUGCAACCUACUAUACAGUCUAUACACAUAUAAAGUGUAUCGAAAGCAAUGAGGACAUGACCUUUCUAAAUUUAUUUUAUUUUCCUUCUCAUUUUAUAAUGAGUUUUUCGUCUUCUUCUUCCUCAGCCCCUCUCUUCUCGGGCUGUUCCGUGAGAUGGCUGUAAGUUUAUGUAGGACUCAGUCCAGGAUUUUCCUACCAGCUUUUUCUCAUUAGGGUAUUGUAGGAGACUCGAGCUUGGCUGCACAGAGUGGCAACAGAAAGGGGGGGGGGGGGGGAGCUAUACACUUACUCUUACUCAGCAAAAUCUCACUGGCCGGCUAAAUCGAGUUAUCUUUUAACUGUCUCACGUCAUAGCCAAUACCUCAGUCUCUGCUUUCUCCUCCACCUCUCUGCUUACUCACCUCGCUUCACCUUUUCUCUCCAUCCCUCCACAUACUUCAAUAUUCUCCAGACAUAUUCACUCCGAGGCUUCCUAGAACGCUGCCCCUUCUUUCUCUUCUUCACAACAAGCUACCAUAGCUACUAUAGACAUACGUAUUAAUAAGUUGGUGAACAGCACAGGAGGGGAUGCCAUGUCUGACAGAAGUGCACUUUUUUGGACCCUGUUACUAACUGGGGACUCAGGUGGCGUUGACACACACCAGAUCCGACCGCUUGCCUUAUCUCAGUGACCAACACACACACACACACACACACACACACACACACACAUCUUCUCAAGGGGCAAACAUGCAGAGCGUCUAGUCGGUCGACUGUCAAAAUCCGCCCGCUAAGGAAUUGCCGGCAUUUUCAAUAAUUCACGCGCACAGGAGCACAUCUUUCUCGCCACUUUUGUCUCCCCCCCUCCGCCUCCCUCCUCCUCCCCUCCUCGCUCUCUGUAUCUCGAUCUCGAUCGCUCUCUGUCAAGUCAUCAGGACACUAAUCAGGAUUUUCCCGCAGCAGGAACGGGGAGUCUGGUGGAGGAGCGAGGAAAAAAAAGAAGAAGAAAAAAAAGCGGGAGCUGUCUUAUUAUAGAUAACAAACGAGGGAUAUAAAUACCUCUUGGGGUGGGAAGCUUAUAUAAGAGUCAUGAUGGGUCCAUUGGCCUCUCAGCCCGCCUGUGCACAAGAUUAUAUGUGUGUGUGUGUGUGUGUGUGUGUUUGUGUGUGUAUGUCUCUCUCUACAUCUCUGUGCAAUGUGCAUAUGUGUCCUGUCCAUAGCCUUGUUCAGCUAUAUAGCUCCCAUAGAUCUGUUUGCUUGCCUCCACCUACAGCCAGUGCCUUGAUAAAUCCCUCCCUUUAAAGCUCCUACAAAGACAGAGUUUUCAGUCAACGUAAGCAUAAAAAGCUAACUCUCUACAGCUGAUUAAGCGUGCCGGUGACAGCUUUCAUUUCAGCUGUCAUUACUCAGAGUUUAGAGCGGUACAUCUGCCUGUGUGUGUUGUGUGAGAACGGAAAGCUCAUAUGACAAGAAUAAUGGGCCCACAGGCCUCGCAUGCAAAGCUCUACUGUAACUGUGGGUUAAGUGUGUGUAGUGUACAGUAUUUUUUGCCAUAUAUUGGCUUGUGUGCAGCUAAUGUAUGGGAAAGUCCCUGUGUGUAUCUGUGUGUGUGUUGUCGUACUGUUAUUUAGAGGUUGGAGGUCGUUAUCGGUGGAACCGAGUGCCGCGGUUACGUUCGGACACACACGCAUUACGAGGUCCACUUUCUCUCUGGAAAUAUCUGCGUGCAUGUGAUCACCUCCCGAUAAUAAUCUGAUCAACAGCUAUGGUCCCCAUGAAAUGACAGUCGUACCUUGAGACCAGGAGAUGGGGGGCUGUUCUCUUAGUGACCAAAAAAAGCCAACAAUUCACUUUUCUCUUUUUAAUAACUAUAACUGCUCUCACCUAGAUUAUUGUGUGGUUAGUUUGAUGUUCAGUUACAGAUUAAUUUAGUUAGGUAUUAUUACUUUGACACAGAUGUUCCGCUCAACAGUUAUUUGGCUUUUUCCUGCUCCAAACUAUCGGUAUUAUAUCGGCCUUUAAAAUCCGCUGUCGGUCGACCUCUACUGUAAUCACUCCGCUCCACUUCAGUGCCCCUUUCCCUGCGAUCCCUUUUGCUCAGGCAGUGGCACUGACAUGACAAUAUACACACAUACACACCUAAACACACACACCUACACACACACACAUUGGGCUCUCUCCCCUCGGCGCUCGGCCCAAAUCACUGUGACAUUUACAGUUUCGCAGCCAUUAGAGCUUAAUGUCCGGGGGGGGGGGGGGGACUGCAUGAUAGUGGCUUCUCCGGAAUCAGAUCACAUCAUUUUGUGAGAGUGCCGAGCCCCAGCGUCCUUGUUACACCGCUACACCUGCACCGGGAUCAGCUGAGGAGGGAGCGGGAUCAGGUCCCAACAAGCCCCGAGGCUUACCGGGCUCAAAGGCGGUUACAGGGUCAGGUGGAAACAGGUGUAGUCUGCUAAAUAGAGCAAUGUCACAGAUCAGCGCAUUAGCACCUGAUGAUAGAGUCAUCCUUGUUAUUAAGUGAAUUUGAUAUAUGGAUUUGUAUGUGGCCGUUGUUGCCAUCAGCUGCCUGAUUUGAAUGUCGGACAAAAGCAAAUUUGAGUAUUAUUUGUAGUUGUCUAAAAAUACGAACAGGAGAUUUCCUGGUAUUGAGCCCGGGGUUUGAUGACAGCGUAGUAAAAAGAACAGGAGUAAUUAACGACACACGAUUGUGGCCGCCCUCAAUUAGGUUGCAGAUUUAAGGGAACUGGUGUUGGGUUUACUGGGACACUUAAGUCCUGAGCUUUAUCUGCUGUGACAGGCAAGUGUCAGCUUUCAAAAAGGUCUUAUUCAAAUUUAUUUUAUUGAGCUUUGGAGAUGCUGGUACAUAGAUUGUGUUAUACCUUUGGACAGAGCCAGAUUAGUUUCACCCUGUUUUCAGUCUUUAUGCUAAGCUAAACCAACUGCCUCCUGGCUAUAACAUUAGCUUCAUGUUUACCAUACGGACAUGUGUUAGCAGACAGCGGCCCGUUUUCGCCUUAGUCCAACACACUCUCCUUUUAUCUCUAUAAUAGAUUGAAUAUCUGGCUCUAUAGCUGCUAAAUGCUCUGCUACGUUCACUAGCUAGCCAUUAACAUUGGUCUGUGUGCCGUUUGUUUACCAGGCAGGGAGUGUACAGUGGCUUCAGUGCCGUUUUGACGUAAACAGCCUCACGCAGUGGCUGGAAAUUUGGCUGACGAGUUCUGUGUAACUGAACCAGUGGUACAUCUGUGGGCAGUCAAACCAAACACUGAGCAGAAAGAUGCUAAUACUACCACCAGCAGUUACUACCAGCGAUAACUUUCACAUUAAAAACAUAGCAAUCAUUGCUCAUAUUAUCCACGCCAGCAGGAUUAUGCGAUCGGUCACUUGCGUGCGUGCACCCGUGAGUGAGCGAGUGCACCUCUGUGUCUGUCCACGGCUAAUCUUGCUAAUCUUGCUACAGCAAACCGCAUAAUAUUUUGGGUUGCCCAGUAAUGGCCGCAUGGUGAAGGACCUCAUGUGGUUGCGGUGACUCACAUUUCCUCAAAACACCUAGUAUUGCUUGUUUUCUACUGCCAUUGACUGCCUGCCGACUUCAUAUAUGUUUAUACUUGUUUUAACCAAAUAAUCCUCUCAACACAAUCUGUGUAUUAUACACAGUAAGUAUGUUAUAUUGUGAAACACAAUUCACAUUACAUUUCAUACACUACAGUGUGUGACUGCUGCUUAGCAUCAUUGCUUCAGCAGAAAUUUAUGGCGGAUUAGCCCCUGAAUCGUGAAGCGGAAAGUAAUGAAAAAAAGGUUGGACAAAGUAAUAUAAAAAAUACAAAUCAUCCAUAUAUCUGGAAAGCCCACCAGCUAUACCCCAAACACUCUCGCGAGCUGAGAGCUCAUCACAAUGAGCCAGAAAUCUGCAGUGUGCAUCCCACACAGAUACAAAUGAUACCUAAAUGCAAACAGUUCCUCCAUCACACAUAUUGCAUUCAGACGCUCCCACACGUUCAUGAAUGUGACAAAAUCAUUUCUGGGAGGAAGAAAAAAAUAAAUAAAAAUGCAUUCGCUCCACCCGAGGGUGCAGGCCAUCCCACAUGCAGGAUGUGAAAGAGAGGUGAGAUCUGCUUUUUGUCUUGAUUAGUAUUUGUUCUUAGUCAUUUCAUCCUCCCUCUUCCCACUCUUUACCCUGUGCGCGUGUGUGUGUGUGUGUGUGUGUGUGUGUGUGCGUAUUAACAAGUGUGCAUACUGUUGCGUACCAUUCUGUAAGAUCUGUUCUUUAUUAGUCUUCAUAUUACCAAAGGCUAACUCAGCAUUGCUGGGCCACAGGCUCAUGGGAAGGUCUCGCUGCUUUGUUGCGUGCGUGUGUGUGUGUGUGUGUGUGUGUGUGUGUGUGUUUGUGCGUGCGUGUUUGUGUGUGAGUUUUGCAAUCAACCCUGGGUAACUGCAUACAGUUUGCAGAUGUAGACAGAGAGGGAAAUCCUGUCUGGUCCCCGGAGAGGUUUUGUGCGCGUGUGACGUGAAACAAGCUUGCACUGUAUGUUUGUUUGUGCGACAUGUAAUCCAGCGCGAGUGUGUUUACCUGUAUUUAUGUACUGAUUGCGUAGUUGCCAGCCCUCGCCAUGUGUGUGUACAGUAUGCCAUUUUUUUUCUUCUUCUUUUUUUCGUGGUAGUCAGUAGUGGCUCAGAUGGCACAUGUAGUCUAUCUGAGCGUGUGUGUACUGCACUUUGUAACACACUCACACACACACUUACUGUGCACACACACACACAAAGUGCAGCGAGGGGAGCCUCCGCGCUCGUGGUUUCGGCGUCCCUCGUUAACAUGCUCUGUUCAGGAUUUCCUACAAGAUGUGGCUUCAAAACCAGUUCCAGACUGCUCUCUCUCUCUCUCU
Molecule: RNA transcript, 16221 nt
Organism: Anarrhichthys ocellatus (wolf-eel)
Lineage: Eukaryota; Metazoa; Chordata; Actinopteri; Perciformes; Anarhichadidae
Gene: spata20
Gene name: spermatogenesis associated 20
Exons: 17
Source: RefSeq, a predicted model, not a curated record